This 74-nucleotide transfer RNA is filed under the name Planctomycetota bacterium. RNAcentral's name for it is "Planctomycetes bacterium tRNA-Gln". It matches the Rfam family "tRNA". From Rfam's summary of the family: Transfer RNA (tRNA) molecules are approximately 80 nucleotides in length. Lineage: Bacteria; Pseudomonadati; Planctomycetota. RNAcentral also lists the same sequence under 1 other name. The record is from RNAcentral.
UGCCCUGUAGUGUAACGGUAGCACUCUUGACUCUGGAUCAAGCAGUCUAGGUUCGAAUCCUAGCGGGGCAACCA